UACGUAGGGUGCAAGCGUUAAUCGGAAUUACUGGGCGUAAAGCGUGCGCAGGCGGUUUUGUAAGACCGAUGUGAAAUCCCCGGGCUCAACCCGGGAACUGCGUCCGAAACUGGCAGGCUCGAAUUCGGGAGAGGGAUGCGGAAUUCCAGGUGUAGCGGUGAAAUGCGUAGAUAUCUGGAGGAACAUCGGUGGCGAAGGCGGCAUCCUGGACCGAUAUUGACGCUGAGGCGCGAAAGCCAGGGGAGCAAACGGG
Molecule: ribosomal RNA, 253 nt
Filed under: uncultured bacterium
Lineage: Bacteria
Description: partial 16S ribosomal RNA
Rfam family: Bacterial small subunit ribosomal RNA
Source: RNAcentral